RNAcentral lists this ribosomal RNA (484 nucleotides) under uncultured bacterium. RNAcentral describes it as "partial 16S ribosomal RNA". It matches the Rfam family "Bacterial small subunit ribosomal RNA", at positions 28 to 507 of the family's 1533-position model. The record is from RNAcentral.
AUUGAACGCUGGCGGCAUGCUUUACACAUGCAAGUCGAACGGCAGCGCGGGCUUCGGCCUGGCGGCGAGUGGCGAACGGGUGAGUAAUGCAUCGGAACGUGCCCAGUAGUGGGGGAUAGCCCGGCGAAAGCCGGAUUAAUACCGCAUACGACCUGAGGGUGAAAGCGGGGCACCGAAAGGCCUCGCGCUAUUGGAGCGGCCGAUGUCGGAUUAGCUAGUUGGUGGGGUAAAGGCUUACCAAGGCGACGAUCCGUAGCUGGUCUGAGAGGACGACCAGCCACACUGGGACUGAGACACGGCCCAGACUCCUACGGGAGGCAGCAGUGGGGAAUUUUGGACAAUGGGGGCAACCCUGAUCCAGCCAUGCCGCGUGCGGGAAGAAGGCCUUCGGGUUGUAAACCGCUUUUGUUCGGGAAGAAAUCCUCUGGGCUAAUACCCCGGGGGGAUGACGGUACCGGAAGAAUAAGCACCGGCUAACUACGUG